UCCAUAAAUUUGAAAUCAGUUUUCUUUCCAUCUUAAUUCCAAUAAAAAACCCUAAUCAAAGCUUAUUUCACCGUCGAUCUUUCUGUUGGUUCUCUUCCCUUUUCUUCAAACCCUAGAAUUGAUUGUUCUUUCUUGAGGCUUGAUCUAGAGCUCGAAUUGAUUGUUCUUUGUUUUAGCCAAACCAUUCACAACCCUAAUUUUCAUCUAUCUCCUAUUCGUGUAAGCGAUGAUGACUAUUGAAUAAACCCUAGAUGAUGGCGAUUGAAGAAACCGAACAACCCAGGGUUUCUCUGUGACCAUGACGGCUGCGGGUGUAGGUUCCACUGGUGAUGUCCAGACGAUUUUGAUGUUUCAGCAUGUAGUAAGUGGUUCGAUUUUGAUGUGAAAGAAGAAGAAAUCAAUAGAUUUUCCAGCGGAGAAAGGAAAAGUGAUCAUCUUAUGCUUUGUGCAUAGACGGGGAACGAAAGCUUUAUUAAACACUUCUAGGAAGUGAUUAUGCCAAUGGAUAAGAAGCAGAAGUUUUUGGGAUCGGAUACUUCGGAUUAUGAAAAAGUGAUCGACUUUGAUGUAUGUUCAGAGAGUACUAGAAAUUUUAAGGUUGUCUUGUGCAAAAGUGCUGGUAAAAGAAUAUGUUUAGGGAAGACUAAAAUAGGGUUGAAUUAUGGGAAUGGAAUGAAUGUAGGAUGAUGGUCAACUCGAUAUCCGUGUCGGAUGAAAAAAACAAGUGGGAAUGGUUGGGGGAGGCAUCUGGUAAAUUCUCUCUGGGUUCGGUGAAAAGGUUUCUAAUCGCCAAUGAAGAUUAUAGUUCGAACCAGGUGAUGAAUUGGUGCAAAUGGUUACCGGCGAAGUGCAACAUAUUUAUUAGGGGGUUGCUCUUAAUCAGCUUUCAACUAGAUCAGCUCUGCAGCGGAGGAACAUUAUGGUAGAGGACGGCACCUAUGCAUUAUGAAGUAAAGAUAUUGUUUUCAUGUUUUGAUGACAAUCCAAAUUUGACUAAGAGGAAAAUCGAAGCUGGAGUUUACUGCAGGAUAAUCGAAACAAGAGCUGGAUUGUUGGAGAUAGGAGUUUGCUGGCUUCUUCAGCAACCAUGGCGAUAGGAAUGUUUUUAACAAGAAAAGGUUUGGAUGCGGCUGCACAUGAUCAACAAUGCAUGAAGGGACUGACCAAUGGAGGUCCUUACCAGAACCGCGCAACAGUUACAGAGGGCGUGAAAGAGGCAGAGGAUCCGGGGUAGUUUUUUCGAACUUCUUAUUCAUUUUAGUGUAUUUUGUAAGAAAGGGUAUAUUCGUCAAUUCAGUUUAUAGGUUCUUGAGUCUCGACGAUGCAGGGAACGAGUGAAUUAACUAGGGAUAUAAAGACACUUUUGGGAGUUUUUGUGUUAGUGACAUAAAUGGGUUGGCUAACGAGUCAAAAUGAUUCAGGUCAGUGGAUAUAAAGACACUUUUGGGCGGUUUUCUAUAUGUUCAAACUUUUUGACCCGUUUAACUUUCAAUUGAUUUGUCCGUCAUUUUGCUCCUUGACACGUUAGAUUUCUAAAAAGGUUUACCUAAUUUCUAACAAGAUGGUUUGUGUGAUAACUAUUGAAGAAGGUUAAUAUUACUUUUAACCCAUUCAAUUAUGAUAAUAUUAUUUGAGAAAGGGUCGAAAGUCGCCCAUGUGCAUUUAAGGCUCAUGCCUUGAAAUUAGUAUAAAUUUUUGCAACACUAAUUAUUUUAGUAUUCUGGGUUGACCCAACCUGACCCAUUUUGAUGAGCACAAAACUAUUUUUUUUGACCCGACCAUUUUACCAUGAGUUUUAUGAUUGCAUGUAUUUUUGCCAUCUUUUCUUCAGCCACCAUUCACACAUUCCAACACAAAGAAACUUCAGGAGCAGAUUGUCAACUAAAAAGUGAAGUUGCUAUCAUGGUUAAGUGGUGAAGCUCACUCUUUGCUUAAAGGGGACCCGACGCUAAGGCUUGGAAGCUGGACUUGAGGUUGUCAUGAUAUCAAAAAUCAUAAAUGGGUCAAGGAAAUAACAAGUGAAUCUUAAAGAAGAUGGGUAUAAAUUUCAAAGCGGACUAGACUUACUUUAUCAACAAUAGAGAUGGACAGCAGAUUUCUACUCAGGUUAGAUGGGCUCUCGAGUGGAAACAGGCGCUGACCUAGGAUGAAGUUGAGGAUGAGGUGCAUCUAAUUUUGGGGCUGCUGCAUAUUACGCAUCGUAAGGACGAGUUGGACAGGUUGGGUUGGCUGUACUGAUGAAUGUUGGCGGAGUUCACAUUAAAACAAAUCAGAUUUUAUUUUCCUAAGGGUCCAAAUAAUAAUACGGGUCAUAAUGGGUUCUACUGGAAUAAGAUUGCAGUUCCAAAAGUUAGUUGUUUUGUUCAGGUAGUGGUCAACGACAACAUUCCAACGGCUAUGGACCUUGUGGUGAGGGUCGUUGAGAUGGGAAAUGUCCCAUGUAUGGUAUACGGGAGGAGACUGCAGAUCAUUUACUUGCAGGUUGUGUAAGUCCUACAACGAUAUGUUGGAGCAUGCUCUUAAAAUGAACAAACCAGCAAAGGAGAACCCUAUUAUCUAUGUGUUUUUCUUAAUGACCAUUUGGAAGAUGUGUAUGUGUCGAAAUGACAAGGUUUUUAGAGGAAAAGUAUGUCCUGAUGCAAAAAUUUUGUUAGAAGGAAAAGUCUAUUCUUGAUGACCAUUUGGAAGAUGCGGACGCGUCAAAGUGCGGGUCUGUCCUUCAAUAGGUGGAGCAAUUUUGAUGUUGGUUUGUGACGUUCCUGCGGGUUUUAGCAUUAUUAUUAUUAUUUUGGGUUAUGUACGUUUAUUUUUGUGUUUUGGGGUUGUAUGCUCUAUCUUAGCUUCUGGCUAAGAUGGAGUUUGUGAGGUUCUUAAAUAAAUUUAUCUCCUUUGAUUGGGCAAAAAUAAUGUU
Molecule: long non-coding RNA, 2911 nt
Organism: Helianthus annuus (common sunflower)
Lineage: Eukaryota; Viridiplantae; Streptophyta; Magnoliopsida; Asterales; Asteraceae
Exons: 8
Source: RefSeq, a predicted model, not a curated record